This 1168-nucleotide long non-coding RNA is filed under the name Equus asinus (donkey). RNAcentral's name for it is "lncRNA (ENSEASG00005028204.1)". Lineage: Eukaryota; Metazoa; Chordata; Mammalia; Perissodactyla; Equidae. The record is from RNAcentral.
AGAGAAGUCCCUCCCCCGAGGCUCUGAGGCCUCGCCCAGCUCCCUCCUGCUGUGUGGAGGAUGCCCUGCUCAGGAGGGGAGAAUGAGGCCCAGAAAUGGGACAGCAGAGCCGGGAGCCAUCAAGCUGACGGGACUCCUGUCCACCAGUGACACAUACAUUGAUGGAAGGCUGGUCUCCGGCAUUGGGAGGUGUGGCUGCCGGCUGGGAGCUGCUCUGUGAUAGCCUAGGACAUCCAGGUCACGUCCUCGAGGGCCCCACAGCAUCCUAGGCAGGGACAUAGACAAGUCCCUCCCCCAAACCCAAAGGCCUCCUUUCCCAGCGUGGGAGACACCAAAGAUCCAAGACGAGCUGCCCGGAGGCCCUGCGUCCUGAGAAGUGGAGGACUCAUCUGGCAACGACAAGGAUGCCCGUUGGGCCCGGGGCUUCGUGCACGCUCAGCUCUGGGUCCCCAGGCCCCCAGGCACCGCAUGGGCCCCAUGGGGAGGCCGCCUGAGCCCACAGGGAGGCUGAGGGGCCAUCUCUUGCUCACACUCCCCAUGGACGGGGUUGGACUUGCCCGCCACUCUCCUUCCGCCUGUGUGGCGAGUUCCUCUUGGGGCUCUUUGCCUUGGAAGCUGUCCUGUCUUCCCCAGGCGUCCACCACUUUGUCCUCUUCCAGUUAGAUCGCUCAGAGCCAGGUGGGGCCUUUACACAGGAGUGUUCCCAGCCUCCGGCUGCAAACAGCUUGGACGGACGGCCAAGGGAGCCCUUCGCUACACGUGGCGUUGUUCACCAUGACUCCUACUGCUCCAAGUCCCUCCUGCGCACCAUCUAGCCAGGUCCUCCCAGGAGCCUCGUGAACGAGGAGCUGGAGUAGGGGUGCAGCUCAGUCAAAAUGAUCUGCUUGAGCUGGCCACAUGUCGUCACCCUUGGCCCCUUAGCAAGGCCAGUCAGGUCCUCCUGGAGCUCACCUCGUCUGUGGAGCUGACACCUCCCCUGUUCCCGUGUGUUGACCGAAACAUCGCCAGUGCACUAACUCUGAUCUUGGCCCGGUCUGGGGGCAAGAAAACAGACGCAAAGCGUGCGAAGGCCACCUGCCGGCAAGUGACAGAACUAGAGCCUGACGGUGGCUCCCCGGCCAUCCUGGCUCCCCAACCUGGGCUCCUGGGGUGAGUCCUCCUGGUACCA